This 252-nucleotide ribosomal RNA is filed under the name uncultured bacterium. RNAcentral's name for it is "partial 16S ribosomal RNA". It matches the Rfam family "Bacterial small subunit ribosomal RNA", at positions 524 to 776 of the family's 1533-position model. The record is from RNAcentral.
UACGAAGGGGGCUAGCGUUGCUCGGAUUGACUGGGCGUAAAGGGCGCGUAGGCGGUUCGUACAGUCAGACGUGAAAUUCCUGGGCUCAACCUGGGGCUGCGUUUGAUACGUGCGGACUUGAGUGCGGAAGAGGGUCGUGGAAUUCCCAGUGUAGAGGUGAAAUUCGUAGAUAUUGGGAAGAACACCGGUGGCGAAGGCGGCGACCUGGUCCGAUACUGACGCUGAGGCGCGAAAGCGUGGGGAGCAAACAGG